RNAcentral lists this unclassified non-coding RNA (211 nucleotides) under plant metagenome. RNAcentral's name for it is "partial contains small subunit ribosomal RNA, internal transcribed spacer 1, and 5.8S ribosomal RNA". The record is from RNAcentral.
UUUCCGUAGGUGAACCUGCGGAAGGAUCAUUCAUAAUAAAGCGUUUUAUGGCACUUUUUAAAAUUCCAUUUCCUCUAUAGGUGAAAUGUUAUUUUUCGUUAAUCUGUGCGAGAUUCUGAUACAUCCAAUCCUUCUUUAACUAAUUUGUCUGAAAAAUAUUAUGAAUGCUUAAUUCAAAAUACAACUUUCAACAACGGAUCUCUUGGUUCCU